Molecule: non-coding RNA, 120 nt
Organism: Glycine soja
Lineage: Eukaryota; Viridiplantae; Streptophyta; Magnoliopsida; Fabales; Fabaceae
Source: Rfam
UUCUUAUUGGAUGAUGACUGUCACGUGUCAUCUUCUGAUUGGAUGUCAAUCUCAUGAAAGAUGAAAUAAAUCGUUGUUUUCAUUGACCAAUAAAAACAUGACACGUGACCGUCAUCAUCC